CCGACCUUUUUGGUAGCCUGGUC
This 23-nucleotide non-coding RNA is filed under the name Arabidopsis thaliana (thale cress). Lineage: Eukaryota; Viridiplantae; Streptophyta; Magnoliopsida; Brassicales; Brassicaceae. The record is from RNAcentral.